Long non-coding RNA from Penaeus vannamei (Pacific white shrimp), 590 nucleotides. RefSeq lists it as uncharacterized. NCBI's taxonomy places the organism in Eukaryota, Metazoa, Arthropoda, Malacostraca, Decapoda, Penaeidae. The record is from RefSeq and is a predicted model, not a curated record.
UAGCGGCUGUGACUCAGGCAGAUAGAUAAGGGUAGAGACGGAGCCAAGAUGUCGUGGGGAGAGCGAUAAGGGAAACCGGGCCUCAGCACCUGGUCUAGAUAUCUUCAGCUUCCCCGCGUAUUGACAAGAGAUCUGGUACUUUCUUUUUGGCCUAAAUCAGCCAUCGUCUUUUUGGAUGAGGAAAUGACAGCAAGGAACGAAAGGCGACCAAGAUAUUCUGGAUGACGCACGAUAUUCUACAUAUUUUGAUGGAAGAACGGAGGAAGUCGAAACACAAGAAUGCAUUCAGAUAAAGGGAAAUAACCAGAGAAGUAAAGAGAAGGAUUUCUGCAGCAAAGGAACGAUGGAUAAAGAACAGUGUGAUACUAUAGAAGGAUUGACAAAUAGAUAAGCUCAGAUGAAGGAGUAAAAGGAACACCUGAAAAAGAAAGUUACGAAAAGGAGAUGCAAUAACGAAGAAAGGCGGGAUGGCAAUAGAAAAGCUUGAAGUACUUGACGAAUGGAAGAAGGAAAUUCAAGAAUUGUUUUGGGGAUGACAGACCAGGGCAGUUUUUACAUGAAAAAAAUAAAAAAAUAAAUCCAUGACUCUU